This 466-nucleotide ribosomal RNA is filed under the name uncultured bacterium. RNAcentral describes it as "partial 16S ribosomal RNA". It matches the Rfam family "Bacterial small subunit ribosomal RNA", at positions 338 to 795 of the family's 1533-position model. The record is from RNAcentral.
CCUACGGGAGGCAGCAGUGGGGAAUCUUGCGCAAUGCUCGUAAGAGUGACGCAGCGACGCCGCUGGGGGGAAUGAAGGUAUUCGGAUUGUACAGUUCUGUUGAAGGGGAACAAGAGCGGAGAGAGGAAAUGCUUUCUGAUUGAUAUUACCCUUCGAGGAAGUCACGGCUAACUACGUGCCAGCAGCAGCGGUAAUACGUAGGUGGCGAGCGUUAUCCGGGAUGAUUGGGCGUAAAGGGUGCGUAGGCGGCCUGCUAAGUCUGGAGUGAAAGGUACCGGCUCAACCGGUACAGGCUCUGGAAACUGGCGGGAUAGAGAGCAGGAGAGGGCGGUGGAACUCCAUGUGUAGCGGUAAAAUGCGUAGAUAUAUGGAAGAACAUCAGUGGCGAAGGCGGCCGCCUGGCCUGUUAACUGACGCUGAGGCACGAAAGCGUGGGGAGCAAAUAGGAUUAGAUACCCCUGUAGUC